CGGGCGAUCUGCCUCGCCGUCGCCGAGGAGAGGAGUAGGCUCGCCGCCGGUGGCCAAUCAGGCCGGCCUCGUGCGCCGGCCACCCGUCUCCGCGCGCCCUUUAGCCAUGCCAGGCUCUCCGAUCCAAACGCCCCCUCCACAACCCAAACCCAAACCGCACCGCCGCGUCCUCCUCUCGGUGCCGGCUCUCCUCGCCGUCGCCUUCGCCGUCCUCCUCGCCGCCUCCCCCAAUCCUCUCCCCCGCAUCCUCCGCCUGCUCCUCGGGCCGAAGUCUUCCCUGCUCCGCCCGACGGAGAUACGCCCCUCGGUGGAUGCCUCGCCCGACGCGGGACGCCCACCAUGUGUUCUAUGGAUGGCCCCCUUCGCCUCCGGCGGCGGCUACUGCUCCGAGGCCUGGUCCUACGUCGCCUCCCUUGACGAGCACGCCACCGCCGCCAGCGCGAACUUCACACUCGCAAUCGCCCACCACGGCGACCUGGAGUCGCCGGAGUUCUGGCUCGGGUUGCCCGAGCAAUCCAAGAAGUUGGCGUACAGGCUCGCCACCGCGCGGUGUGAGCUCUCCCGCGCGGUGGUUGUCUGCCACAGCGAGCCUGGCGCAUGGUACCCGCCGAUGUACGAGUCCUUGCCUUGCCCGCCCACCGGCUACGACGAGCCGGCGUUCGUCAUUGGGCGCACAAUGUUUGAGACGGACCGCCUCUCACCGGAGCACGUAAGACGGUGCAACCAGAUGGACGCCAUCUGGGUGCCGACCGACUUCCAUGUAUCGACAUUCGUGAAGAGCGGGGUGGAUCCCUCCAAGGUUGUCAAAGUUGUGCAGGCUGUGGAUGUAGGAUUCUUUCAUCCGGCCAAGCACACCGCACUUCCUUUGCCAAUUGGUGUGCCUGUGCUGGUGCUUGAUGAUUCAAGGUUGGGCCUUGAUGGCUCGAAAGGCAAAGGCUUUGUGUUUCUCAGUGUGUUCAAAUGGGAGCAGAGGAAGGGUUGGGAUGUGCUGCUCAGAGCUUUCUUGCAGGAGUUCUCUGGAGCUGAUGAUGUUGCACUUUACCUGCUGAUCAAUGCCUACCACUCAGACACAGACUUCAGUAGGAAAAUCCGCAGUUUCGUCAAAGAAUCCAGCAUUGAGGAGCCUACGGAUGGAUGGGCAGAAGUUCGGCUGAUUGGUGAGCAUGUCCCACAAUCUGCUCUUCCAAGGCUGUACAAGGCUGCGGAUGCCUUUGUGCUACCAUCCCGUGGUGAGGGCUGGGGCAGGCCAGUGGUGGAAGCCAUGUCCAUGGAACUGCCAGUGAUUGUGACGGAUUGGUCAGGUCCAACAGAGUACUUAACUGAGGAGAAUGGGUACCCAUUGGACAUUGACAGGAUGGCUGAGGUCACAGAAGGACCAUUUAAGGGUCAUCUCUGUGCUGAGCCAUCUGUUGAUCAUCUGAGGACUUUGAUGAGACAUGUAUUCAGUGAUCGAGAAGAAGCAAGGAGAAAAGGUAAGAAGGCAAGGGAGGAUAUGGUUGAGAGGUUUUCACCAGCAAUUGUUGCAAGGAUUGUUGCUGAUCAGCUACAACAGACAAUUGCCAGUACUCGGUAGAUGGAUAACUGAAAUGUGAUUGCAAAUUUUAACCAGGAAGUGGAUAUAUAUCAUGCGCCACUCAUGAUUGUUUGCUUGGUAUCUAUCCAUGGAGGGAAGUGGUUCAACGAACGCAGUAUUAGAUGCUUCGGGCACUGAGGUAGUAGUGAGUGGUCUUGACGAUCGCCGUUCAUGCCUCAAUCCACGAUGCUGAAGAAGACGCUGCGGGAAGGCUCAUCGACGCGCUCACAGGUAUAGUUGGCCAGAUGGGCGCCCGGCCUGGCACGGCCUAGGCACGGUUGGACAUAUGCCGGAAUGCGUCGGGCUAGCACGGGCCGUGCCGUGCUAGCCUACGGGCGGCACCGGUAGUCCAGGCAUGGCCCAAUACCACUCGGGCCAUGUUGGGCCGGCCCAAAGGCACGAUGGCCCACCGUGCUUCUUCAGUAAAUAAGUCUAUAUGUCAUCUCUCACUUCUCUGGCCUGUUGAAUAAGUCUAUUCUCCCCUCUCUUUUUGGGUUAUAUAUAUAGUUAGAAUAAUUCUAUUUGGCAUACUUUUUUUGGCUAUAUAUAUGAAUAAAUUAAGUCUA
RNA transcript from Oryza brachyantha (malo sina), 2139 nucleotides. RefSeq lists it as uncharacterized. The transcript is spliced from 3 exons. The record is from RefSeq and is a predicted model, not a curated record. Lineage: Eukaryota; Viridiplantae; Streptophyta; Magnoliopsida; Poales; Poaceae.